RNAcentral lists this ribosomal RNA (466 nucleotides) under uncultured microorganism. Its description in RNAcentral is "bacterial SSU rRNA". It matches the Rfam family "Bacterial small subunit ribosomal RNA", at positions 9 to 521 of the family's 1533-position model. The record is from RNAcentral.
GAGUUUGAUCUUGGCUCAGAACGAACGCUGGCGGCAUGCCUAACACAUGCAAGUCGAACGAACUCUUCGGAGUUAGUGGCGCACGGGUGCGUAACGCGUGGGAAUCUGCCCUUGGGUACGGAAUAACUCAGAGAAAUUUGUGCUAAUACCGUAUAAUGACUUCGGUCCAAAGAUUUAUCGCCCAAGGAUGAGCCCGCGUAAGAUUAGCUAGUUGGUGGGGUAAAGGCCUACCAAGGCUACGAUCUUUAGCUGGUCUGAGAGGAUGAUCAGCCACACUGGGACUGAGACACGGCCCAGACUCCUACGGGAGGCAGCAGUGGGGAAUAUUGGACAAUGGGCGAAAGCCUGAUCCAGCAAUGCCGCGUGAGUGAUGAAGGCCUUAGGGUUGUAAAGCUCUUUUACCCGGGAUGAUAAUGACAGUACCGGGAGAAUAAGCUCCGGCUAACUCCGUGGCAGCCGCCGCUGU